UACAGAGGGGGCAAGCGUUGUUCGGAAUUACUGGGCGUAAAGGGCGCGUAGGCGGCCGAUCAAGUCGGGGGUGAAAGCCUGUGGCUCAACCACAGAAUGGCCUUCGAUACUGUUUGGCUUGAGACCGGAAGAGGUCAGUGGAACUGCGAGUGUAGAGGUGAAAUUCGUAGAUAUUCGCAAGAACACCAGUGGCGAAGGCGGCUGACUGGUCCGGUUCUGACGCUGAGGCGCGAAAGCGUGGGGAGCAAACAGG
This 253-nucleotide ribosomal RNA is filed under the name uncultured bacterium. RNAcentral's name for it is "partial 16S ribosomal RNA". It matches the Rfam family "Bacterial small subunit ribosomal RNA", at positions 524 to 776 of the family's 1533-position model. The record is from RNAcentral.